AAGCUCUGCGUCGGAGCUCCUGGUGCCUUAAUGCCGCUGGCUGGGCAGGAGGCUCGCGUCACCUGCAAGCAAGCGCCAUGAUAAGUUGCAGAGUCUCGUUCAGGAUCUCAAUGGACGCACGCCCUGCCUAUUCGAGGAUCGAUGUGCAAUUGACUGUUCUCCGGAGCAGACCACAAACCUUAAAUGGUACGAGUUCAGCAUGAAGAAACCACGUAUUGUUGAAUGAAGGUUUACCAAGAGCCGCUGCUGGCCUAGACAAGCUUAACUAAGACUGUUGUAUUCGUUGCUUUUCCUGCCUUGUGCUCCAUCUCUCUUCAGUAAAGACACGUUGGUCAAAACUCGGUGCCGCACGAGCGGCAGUCGCAAUACUUAAAGCACAUGAGGGGAAACCGGGGUACGCAUAUCUCUAUCAUUUGGAUUGGUAAACUGCCACAAGUGCUCCGCGUAAACCUUCAGGCAGUACUGCCUACAUAAUUA
Long non-coding RNA from Dermacentor andersoni, 477 nucleotides. RefSeq lists it as uncharacterized. The record is from RefSeq and is a predicted model, not a curated record. Lineage: Eukaryota; Metazoa; Arthropoda; Arachnida; Ixodida; Ixodidae.